Molecule: microRNA, 24 nt
Filed under: Gallus gallus (chicken)
Lineage: Eukaryota; Metazoa; Chordata; Aves; Galliformes; Phasianidae
Description: gga-miR-12233-5p (MIR12233)
Source: RNAcentral
GAGGGAACCGGGGGGGGGCACGGA